UAGCUUUAGCUCGGUGGUGUAGGUAAACAAAGCUCCGCCUACGUCAUACGAGUUCAAGAGUGGAUGGUGUUUGUACUCGAGAAUAUAUUGUUUUCCGCGAUGAGCCGUAAAAGGCAUCACGCUGGCAGGCUAUUGACAAUUUUUUAAGAUCCAGUUGGGCCAGGCAGGCUCCCAACAUAAGUGGUCCAAGUCCUGCACACUACUACUAUCAAAUAUCUUGAAGGAAAACCUUAAUUGGGCAUUAGUCCAGAUUCAGCCAUGGGAGAGGUUGAUAAACCUUUUGGGUGUCCCCAGCCUGGCUGUGGCAUGAGCUUCACUAAUGAGGAUCAUCUGACAGUGCAUCGUAGACGUCAUGAGAUGCAACUUACAGUCAACGGAGAUCAUCACACAUCAUCUCUAGUCAAACAUCAUGGAUACAUAAUUGACCAGACACCUACUCCAACAAGGUUCUUACGGCAAUGUGAGGAAGUGGGACUGUUCCAGGAAAUAAACUUGAACCCCUUUGAUGAACAGUUUAGAAGAGCAUCACUUCUCAGGUCACAUCACUCUCUCACUGAGGCUCUUGGAGGGAAUGGAGGAGAAAGCCUUGACACACCACGAGUACUCCCACCUGUAGAUUCUGAUGAAACUAUUUCUUCCACGUCUCGAGAUGAUGUGUCUGUCACGUCAACCACGGCCAUGACCACUGCCACCAUCACCACGUCUAGCAUCUCUGCAUCUCGUUUACAAACUACCACCUCGGGCUGCACUCCACCGCAGUCCUCUUCAAGAGUCAUAGAAGUCGAGGGAGACCUAGACAAGACUGAACAAUUACCCAGACGGCUCUCUCUCAACGUCUCUUCAGCCGCUGAAGCAAGUCAACAGUCAAGCUCUGUGAUAUCCACACCUACACCUGUCAUUACUGCAGGGCCAUCAGUGACCCAGUCCCUUGGUGUAGUGGAUGUGGCUGGUGGGAGUGUGAAGAUAAAUGGGCUGGCACAGUCCUCCCCCCAGCAGCCAGCCCUCUGUGCUGCCGCCAGCUGUGUCCCUCCAUCUCCAAGUGCCACUGUCCUUCAGCUGCUCCUCAGAUUACCCAAUGGUCAAGCAAUCCCAGUUGAAAUUCCUGCAACUCCAGUUGUUUCUUCAUCCAAUUCAAGUGGAACCACAAAUGGCACAGUCUCCUCCAUUGCUGGUUCACUACCUCACUCAGUAGAAAGUAGAUCACCACAUCAGUCACUUGCCAAGAUGAAGUUAAAACAAGCCUUGGCCUCCAGCAGUACUGCAGCACGGCCAGGCUGUAGUAAGAUAUCACGAGCCAAUACAGCUGACCGCAUUGCUGAAAUGACCAGGUCACGUAAUUUCAGUGGCACCAGUAGUACUGAGGGUGAGGGGGAGGAAGACAGCACAAGUGGUAAUGGUAACAUUUUGAAAGGAGAGCGAAGGCGCCGCCAUUCUUCAGAUAAUGAAGAUCCUGCAGAGAAACGAAAAAAAUUCCUAGAAAGAAACAGAGCAGCUGCCAUAAGAUGUAGAGAAAAAAAGAAAAAAUGGAUUGAAAAUUUGUCUAUAAAAUAUGAUGAGUUGGGAUCCAUCAAUCAGAAACUACAGACUGAAGUAUCAUCUCUACGUUCUGAAGUUGCAAUCCUAAAAUCAAUGCUUUUACAACACAAAGACUGUCCAGUUACUCUGGCCAUGCAGGGAGAUGGCAGCUUGGACUGUGUAAACUGCAGUAGUGACUUGGCUCCCUUACCACCAAUAUUGGCACCUUUGUCAGUGGGUGUUCACAUUUCUGGCCAGCCUCAACACAAACCUCGCACCCGUUCUCUCUCUCUACCAUCGAUACCCUCGUCUAGUGGAACAGUGAUGGAGCCUCUGCCAGUGAACUUAUCGUGUUCAACUUACACCGUUUCCCCAGCAUGUACAGCGGUAACUUCUGUAUCUUCGUCAACCAAGGUGGGUGUUAUACCAGCAGUAUCUCCUGUAGCAGCCUCCAUGAGCCCUGUCAACUUGACUAACAGUCUCAUCACAACUAGCCAACACCCAGCUGCCCUCAACCCUACCACUACCAGUGCCCGUCUAAGUCAGCCUGGAGCAAUCUUUAAGCUUUCACAUGCACCCUUAGCCCACAAACACACCUCCAGUCCUCAGCUGCUUAUCCCAGCCACAGGAGCCUCUCAGUGAGUAUGAGACACCACACAGUGUUGGGUCCAUAGAUGGUGCAGUGUGUCAUGGACGGGAGAGAAAGGACUGACACGACUUUUUUUGGUGGUUCAACAUCAACAAUGAGGGCAUUCAAACAAUGACAAACAGGAAGGAGGUUCAAUCAAGGACAGCUCAAGUAUGCCAGUUUCUACUGCACUUUGAGGUAACAGUGAUGGGAGCCCCAGAGAUAAUAACAGCAGAAAUAAACCCCAAGACAAUAAUGAUGACUGGCACAUCCAACAUGAUCAUGGGAGCCAAUGGGUCUCCAGUCACUCACACAGCAACUCUCAGCCGACCACA
RNAcentral lists this unclassified non-coding RNA (2478 nucleotides) under Homarus americanus (American lobster). Its description in RNAcentral is "cyclic AMP-dependent transcription factor ATF-7-like, transcript variant X1". Lineage: Eukaryota; Metazoa; Arthropoda; Malacostraca; Decapoda; Nephropidae. The record is from RNAcentral.